UACGAAGGGGGCUAGCGUUGUUCGGAAUUACUGGGCGUCAAGCGCGCGCAGGCGGUCUUCCAAGUCAGUGGUGAAAGCCUGGAGCUCAACUCCAGAACUGCCAUUGAAACUGUUAGACUUGAGUACGAGAGAGGUGAGUGGAAUUCCCAGUGUAGAGGUGAAAUUCGUAGAUAUUGGGAAGAACACCGGUGGCGAAGGCGGCUCACUGGCUCGUAACUGACGCUCAGGCGCGACAGCGUGGGGAUCAAACAGG
RNAcentral lists this ribosomal RNA (253 nucleotides) under uncultured bacterium. RNAcentral describes it as "partial 16S ribosomal RNA". It matches the Rfam family "Bacterial small subunit ribosomal RNA", at positions 524 to 776 of the family's 1533-position model. The record is from RNAcentral.